CCCUUAGAUGUCCUGGGCUGCACGCGCGCUACACUGAUGUGUCCAGUAAGCACCUAACCUCUUCCGAAAGGAACGGGUAACCUUUGCAAAGCACAUCGUGAUGGGGAUAGAUUAUUGCAAUUAUUAGUCUUGAACGAGGAAUUCCUAGUAAGCACAAGUCAUCAGCUUGUGUUGAUUACGUCCCUGCCCUUUGUACACACCGCCCGUCGCUCCUACCGAUUGAAUGUUCCGGUGAGCUCUUCGGACUGCGCGGUCUGCCGUUUCUGCGUUCCGUGCGGAAAGUUGCGCAAACCUUAACAUUUAGAGGAAGGAGAAGUCGUAACA
Molecule: ribosomal RNA, 324 nt
Filed under: uncultured eukaryote
Lineage: Eukaryota
Description: partial 18S ribosomal RNA
Rfam family: Eukaryotic small subunit ribosomal RNA
Source: RNAcentral